GCGCCCAUAGCUCAGUCCGGCAGAGCAGCUCCCUUUUAAGGAGAUGGUCGCAGGUUCGAAUCCUGCUGGGCGCA
Molecule: transfer RNA, 74 nt
Filed under: Patescibacteria group bacterium
Lineage: Bacteria
Description: tRNA-Lys
Rfam family: tRNA
About the family: Transfer RNA (tRNA) molecules are approximately 80 nucleotides in length. Their secondary structure includes four short double-helical elements and three loops (D, anti-codon, and T loops).
Source: RNAcentral